This 496-nucleotide ribosomal RNA is filed under the name uncultured bacterium. RNAcentral describes it as "partial 16S ribosomal RNA". It matches the Rfam family "Bacterial small subunit ribosomal RNA", at positions 29 to 507 of the family's 1533-position model. The record is from RNAcentral.
AUGAACGCUGGCGGCGUGCCUAAUACAUGCAAGUCGAGCGAACAGAUAAGGAGCUUGCUCCUUUGACGUUAGCGGCGGACGGGUGAGUAACACGUGGGUAACCUACCUAUAAGACUGGGAUAACUUCGGGAAACCGGAGCUAAUACCGGAUAACAUUUGGAACCGCAUGGUUCUAAAGUGAAAGAUGGUUUUGCUAUCACUUAUAGAUGGACCCGCGCCGUAUUAGCUAGUUGGUAAGGUAACGGCUUACCAAGGCAACGAUACGUAGCCGACCUGAGAGGGUGAUCGGCCACACUGGAACUGAGACACGGUCCAGACUCCUACGGGAGGCAGCAGUAGGGAAUCUCCCGCAAUGGGCGAAAGCCUGACGGAGCAACGCCGCGUGAGUGAUGAAGGGUUUCGGCUCGUAAAACUCUGUUAUUAGGGAAGAACAAACGUGUAAGUAACUGUGCACGUCUUGACGGUACCUAAUCAGAAAGCCACGGCUAACUACGUG